RNAcentral lists this ribosomal RNA (2902 nucleotides) under Klebsiella pneumoniae. RNAcentral describes it as "23S ribosomal RNA". It matches the Rfam family "Bacterial large subunit ribosomal RNA". The record is from RNAcentral. Lineage: Bacteria; Pseudomonadati; Pseudomonadota; Gammaproteobacteria; Enterobacterales; Enterobacteriaceae.
GGUUAAGCGACUAAGCGUACACGGUGGAUGCCCUGGCAGUCAGAGGCGAUGAAGGACGUGCUAAUCUGCGAAAAGCGUCGGUAAGGUGAUAUGAACCGUUAUAACCGGCGAUGUCCGAAUGGGGAAACCCAGUGUGAUUCGUCACACUAUCGUUAACUGAAUACAUAGGUUAACGAGGCGAACCGGGGGAACUGAAACAUCUAAGUACCCCGAGGAAAAGAAAUCAACCGAGAUUCCCCCAGUAGCGGCGAGCGAACGGGGAGCAGCCCAGAGUCUGAAUCAGCUUGUGUGUUAGUGGAACGGUCUGGAAAGUCCGACGGUACAGGGUGAUAGUCCCGUACACCAAAAUGCACAGGCUGUGAACUCGAAGAGUAGGGCGGGACACGUGGUAUCCUGUCUGAAUAUGGGGGGACCAUCCUCCAAGGCUAAAUACUCCUGACUGACCGAUAGUGAACCAGUACCGUGAGGGAAAGGCGAAAAGAACCCCGGCGAGGGGAGUGAAAAAGAACCUGAAACCGUGUACGUACAAGCAGUGGGAGCACCUUCGGGUGUGACUGCGUACCUUUUGUAUAAUGGGUCAGCGACUUAUAUUCUGUAGCAAGGUUAACCGUAUAGGGGAGCCGCAGGGAAACCGAGUCUUAACUGGGCGUUAAGUUGCAGGGUAUAGACCCGAAACCCGGUGAUCUAGCCAUGGGCAGGUUGAAGGUUGGGUAACACUAACUGGAGGACCGAACCGACUAAUGUUGAAAAAUUAGCGGAUGACUUGUGGCUGGGGGUGAAAGGCCAAUCAAACCGGGAGAUAGCUGGUUCUCCCCGAAAGCUAUUUAGGUAGCGCCUCGUGAACUCAUCUUCGGGGGUAGAGCACUGUUUCGGCUAGGGGGUCAUCCCGACUUACCAACCCGAUGCAAACUACGAAUACCGAAGAAUGUUAUCACGGGAGACACACGGCGGGUGCUAACGUCCGUCGUGAAGAGGGAAACAACCCAGACCGCCAGCUAAGGUCCCAAAGUCAUGGUUAAGUGGGAAACGAUGUGGGAAGGCACAGACAGCCAGGAUGUUGGCUUAGAAGCAGCCAUCAUUUAAAGAAAGCGUAAUAGCUCACUGGUCGAGUCGGCCUGCGCGGAAGAUGUAACGGGGCUAAACCAUGCACCGAAGCUGCGGCAGCGACACUAUGUGUUGUUGGGUAGGGGAGCGUUCUGUAAGCCUGCGAAGGUGACCUGUGAGGGUUGCUGGAGGUAUCAGAAGUGCGAAUGCUGACAUAAGUAACGAUAAAGCGGGUGAAAAGCCCGCUCGCCGGAAGACCAAGGGUUCCUGUCCAACGUUAAUCGGGGCAGGGUGAGUCGACCCCUAAGGCGAGGCCGAAAGGCGUAGUCGAUGGGAAACAGGUUAAUAUUCCUGUACUUGGUGUUACUGCGAAGGGGGGACGGAGAAGGCUAUGUUAGCCGGGCGACGGUUGUCCCGGUUUAAGCAUGUAGGCUGGUUGUCCAGGCAAAUCCGGAUAAUCAAGGCUGAGGUGUGAUGACGAGGCACUACGGUGCUGAAGUAACAAAUGCCCUGCUUCCAGGAAAAGCCUCUAAGCAUCAGGUAACAUCAAAUCGUACCCCAAACCGACACAGGUGGUCAGGUAGAGAAUACCAAGGCGCUUGAGAGAACUCGGGUGAAGGAACUAGGCAAAAUGGUGCCGUAACUUCGGGAGAAGGCACGCUGGUGUGUAGGUGAAGUCCCUGCGGAUGGAGCUGAGACCAGUCGAAGAUACCAGCUGGCUGCAACUGUUUAUUAAAAACACAGCACUGUGCAAACACGAAAGUGGACGUAUACGGUGUGACGCCUGCCCGGUGCCGGAAGGUUAAUUGAUGGGGUUAUCCGUAAGGAGAAGCUCUUGAUCGAAGCCCCGGUAAACGGCGGCCGUAACUAUAACGGUCCUAAGGUAGCGAAAUUCCUUGUCGGGUAAGUUCCGACCUGCACGAAUGGCGUAAUGAUGGCCAGGCUGUCUCCACCCGAGACUCAGUGAAAUUGAACUCGCUGUGAAGAUGCAGUGUACCCGCGGCAAGACGGAAAGACCCCGUGAACCUUUACUAUAGCUUGACACUGAACAUUGAGCCUUGAUGUGUAGGAUAGGUGGGAGGCUUUGAAGCGUGGACGCCAGUCUGCGUGGAGCCAACCUUGAAAUACCACCCUUUAAUGUUUGAUGUUCUAACGUUGGCCCCUGACCGGGGUUGCGGACAGUGUCUGGUGGGUAGUUUGACUGGGGCGGUCUCCUCCCAAAGCGUAACGGAGGAGCACGAAGGUUAGCUAAUCCUGGUCGGACAUCAGGAGGUUAGUGCAAUGGCAUAAGCUAGCUUGACUGCGAGCGUGACGGCGCGAGCAGGUGCGAAAGCAGGUCAUAGUGAUCCGGUGGUUCUGAAUGGAAGGGCCAUCGCUCAACGGAUAAAAGGUACUCCGGGGAUAACAGGCUGAUACCGCCCAAGAGUUCAUAUCGACGGCGGUGUUUGGCACCUCGAUGUCGGCUCAUCACAUCCUGGGGCUGAAGUAGGUCCCAAGGGUAUGGCUGUUCGCCAUUUAAAGUGGUACGCGAGCUGGGUUUAGAACGUCGUGAGACAGUUCGGUCCCUAUCUGCCGUGGGCGCUGGAGAAUUGAGGGGGGCUGCUCCUAGUACGAGAGGACCGGAGUGGACGCAUCACUGGUGUUCGGGUUGUCAUGCCAAUGGCACUGCCCGGUAGCUAAAUGCGGAAGAGAUAAGUGCUGAAAGCAUCUAAGCACGAAACUUGCCCCGAGAUGAGUUCUCCCUGAGACUUUAAGUCUCCUGAAGGAACGUUAAAGACGAUGACGUUGAUAGGCCGGGUGUGUAAGCGCAGCGAUGCGUUGAGCUAACCGGUACUAAUGAACCGUGAGGCUUAACCUU